UUAGGUUAGAGGAGAAAGAGGGGUGGUGGAAAACUAAGAUAGGCUAAGUCGACGGGGGGCUCGAAAGGGCGAAGAAGAAGCUCUAAAGUCGCAUUUCAACGCGGAGACGCAGUGGGGAAAACGGAAAAAUGAAACAUCUCAGUAUCAAAGUGGCGUAAGAAAUCAAACGAGAUUCCGUAAGUAGUGGUGAGCGAAAGUGGAAAAGUUCAAUGGGUUGAUAAGAACACAUGACUCUAGAGGGUGAGUCCAUAGUGAAAAAAGGUGUUCACAUAUCUAAAACUAAAGGUUAGUCUUAUACUGAAAGGGGGAGUACUGUAAAGGAAAGUUGAAAGAGGUUUGAAAAGAUCUGGAAAUCUGUUCUUAAAGCAGCUGUAGGACAGCGUACCUUUUGCAUAAUGGGUUCAUAAGAUAUGGUUUGGCAAAUUUAAAUUAACUCUUUGAAGAUAAGUGUGUUAGGCAGGGGAAUAGAAUGAAGGUAAAGGGAAGUCAAGCGGGUUCUUUUCAGUCAAAUUACCCGAAACCAAGUGAUCUAGUCAUGGGCUGUUUUAGGAACGAACCGGUGGUUGUAGCAAAAACCUCGGAGGACUUGUGACUGGGGGCGAAAGGCCAAUCGAACUUGGAGAUAGCUGGUUUUCUGCGAAAACUAUUGAGGUAGUGUGUUCACAAUUUUUUUUUUUGGGGGGGGGGGGUUGAGUUAGUUGGACGAACCUUCCUCAUACUAGAGUCUAUUGUUAGUAAAGUUUGAUCGCCUGAGGGGGGGGGAUAGGUUAUGAAGGCAAAAUCGAAGUGGACAGACAGACAGCGGGCAAGAAGGUUCGUUGUCAAAAGGGGGGAGCCCUAAUCAGAAGUUAAAGUCAUAAAUCGAUCGGAGAGGUCUCCAAAUAGUUAAGUGUAAAAGGAGUGUGGGAUUUAGAUAAUGAGGAGGUAGGCUUGGAGCCAGCCAUCUUUGAGAGAGCGCGUAGUUGUUCACUCAAGAACUCUUUUUUUCCUAAAAUUACGGUGGCUAAAAAUUGAACUGAAAUUUUGAGGGCAAAGUUUGCUUGGUAGUAGAACAGACUGGGGGUGGUUUAGUGAGAGCCAAAUGUCAGAAGAGAUAAUGUGAACAUGAGUAAAAAAAAUCGUUGACUCAUCUCUCGGGCUUUCCAAGUUUUAGGGCUUGGGUAAUGCAGUCCCUAAGGGGUGGCCAAAGGUUGUCUCGAUGGGUGAUAAUAAUAAACGCAUAGAGUGCCAGGAAAUAAUUUUUAAAAGUCGGUACUGUCGUAGACUAACACAAGUGGGGGAUAGUGAGGGGGAAAGUUUUUUUAAGGAACUCGGCUGGUUUUCAGCUCUCAUUAGGGAGUUUUAUAACACAAGGCCUCGACUGUUUACCAAAAACAUAGCUCUUUGCUAAUAUGAAAGUAGAAGUAUGGAGGGUGAGACCUGCCCAAUGGUUGUAUCAAAAAAGGGUUGGUAGAGCCRGCUUUACAAAGACAAUUGAAUGGCCGCGGUAACACUGACCGUGAUAAUGUAGCGUAAUCAAUAGUCAAUUAAUUGUUGGCCGGUAUGAAUGGUGUUACGAAGGUCUUACUGUCUUAAGAAAAUUCUCAGCGAAAUUGAAUUUGUAGUGAAGAUGCUACAUCCAAAUUGUUAGACGAGAAGUCCCUAUGGAACUUUACUGGAGACUUAUGUGGCUUUAACUUGUGACUUACAAAUAGAUAGGUUAUACUCUGUGGCGACAGUCGUUUUAUCUAAAGACCAGCCCUCUGAUUGACUCUUUGGGGUGGUCUUUGGGCUAGGUUGGUAAAGCCCACUCUUCUAUUUUAAGAAAGCAGCAACUUUUCUAAAAGUUUGUGCGGUAAGAGUUAUGUUGUUUGGUAAGUUAGACAGUUUGGUUGGGGCGACUGCCUUUUAAAGAGUAACGAAGGCGGGCUUAAGAUACAUAUCAACAACUGUUGUCUGACUGCGAAGGGGAAGGCCCUGAGCAGACACUAGGUAGUGGUGGGUUAUAGUGACACGUUAAUUUAAGGUGAAAUAGUUAACGAUAAACAAAUAAAAGUUACCCUGGGGAUAACAGCGCAAUAACGUUAGAGAUUUUCAUUGACGACGAUGUUUGCGACCUCGAUGUUGAAUUGCGGCAUCCUGGGGUGCAGUUGCUCCCAAGGGUUGGUCUGUUCGUCCAUUAAAGCCGUACAUGAUUUGAGUUAAAAGCGUGGUGACACAGCUUGGUUUCUAUCUACAAUUUGAAGAAACAUUGUUAUAACUAUUUUCUAGUACGAAAGGAUCGAAAAAUUAGUGGUUCUCUUAUUUUUAUAAGUUACAAUCGACCUAUUGGCUCGGAUAAUCAUGAAAGGGUCUUUUUGUUAAUUGCUGAUCGCUUCUAAAGUGUGAAAAUUAUAUUAAAUUGUUUGAAGUCCUGUAGAG
RNAcentral lists this ribosomal RNA (2400 nucleotides) under Gardineria hawaiiensis. RNAcentral describes it as "16S ribosomal RNA". Lineage: Eukaryota; Metazoa; Cnidaria; Anthozoa; Scleractinia; Caryophylliidae. The record is from RNAcentral.